RNAcentral lists this long non-coding RNA (2366 nucleotides) under Micromonas commoda. RNAcentral's name for it is "long non-coding RNA (MCOM_LNC000160)". Lineage: Eukaryota; Viridiplantae; Chlorophyta; Mamiellophyceae; Mamiellales; Mamiellaceae. The record is from RNAcentral.
UUAAAGCUCGCGACGUUCGGCUCCCGCGCGCGUUCCGGGCUCGCCUCUCUCGCGUUCUCCGCGAGGAAACGCGGGAAAAAAACAACGUCAUCGUCUCCGUUUUGAAAAGCGCCGGAGACGGGCGCGCGAGCGCGACAUUUCGACCUUCACGAGCACUUCCCGGCGUUUCGGACCCGUCGUUCCAUCCGGUACAACUCUUGUGCCUUUUCCGCGUCGCUAAACCGUCGUCUCCCCGCGCGCAGGUCCUCGGAGAACACGUCAGCGAAGCGGAGAUGCCAAGCAAAGGUGAGAGCUCCAAACCGAGGAAAAAGUCCCGUAACGCGCUUUCCGGCGGCACGCCACCCGAGUCGCGUCGCGCCCGGUCGCCUCGUCGAGGCGCGCGAUUUUUACCCGCGGGUCGUGCGAACAUUUGGAGACGCUCGUCAGCUCCGGGCGGCCGUAUCGCGCGUCUCCAGGGGAGGAUAUCGCGUCGCGUCCAGGAGGGGGCGUUGACAUCCAUCUUCUCGAGUUUUUUUUUCCCGACGAGUGUUUUCUUGGCCCCCGCGGCCCCUGCGCUUCCGCCUCGCCGCUGACCCAUCGCGCCCCGUCUCACCCCCGCAGAAGGAUACGUCGAGGCGCAAGCCUUCGCGUCGGUGCACGACCUCGUUCAUCACGCCAUCCUCUCCCGCCCCGACCACAGGUGCGCGCGCGCGAGCGGCCCCGGCGUCCCGGUUUUUUUUUCUCGACAGUUGUCGGGUUGUGAGCCUCCAUGAGUCAUGACUCUGACGAGGCGGGCGAGGAAGUUUCACCCCGAGCGGCGCGAGACGCGCGUGACUGACGCCUCCCACCAUCCCUCCCGCGUCACGCGCAGGGCGAUACUCAAGGAGAUUUACGCAACCUGCGAGCGCGAGGGGCGCAUCGCGUACAAGCGUGAGUCCCAUUCCCCGCUCCCGCGCGGCGCCCGUCCCGGCGCCGCAUCCCGGCAUGCGCGUUUUCAUCCCCUUUCUCGGUUCGGGACUCGCCCUUUUUCGCACAGCUGGCGCUCGACGUGGAAAACGCACGAAUCGCUUUUUCGGAGUUUUCCCGAGACUGCGAUGCAUCACGUUUGUGUUUUUCCCCGCAGCGGUGGCGGUGGUCGUGCCGGUUGCUUGUCCCCCCCCCCCACUGACGCCUGCCCUCUUCUCUCCUCUUCCGCAGACGGCAAGGGCAGCAGGCUCCUGACCGCUAACGAGCACUGGAAGUCCCAGAUCAGACACGCGCUCUACACCUCCCCGAGGUUCAGACGCGUCGACGACGGCGAGGCUUGGUCCGUGUCAAACCCCGAAGCCAAGGCUCCGGAACCCGUCACGGUAGGUAAACGUCCCCUUGUCCCGCCCGUCCCCUUGUCCCGCCCGUCCCCUUGUCCCGCCCUUUACCUUUCUCUUUCUCUUUCUCUUUCUUUUUCCCUUGUCCCAUGUCCCCCCCUUUGUCCCUCAAGUGCGCAAACGACUGACCGCUCUCCCCGUACCCCCACGAUUCCUCGCAGGUGCGCGUGUACCCCGGCGACGACGAGGCUGUCGCCGCGCAGCGCUCACACGAGCGCGAGGAGCACAAGCGAGAGAAGGCGUUGGCGGCGGCGGCGGCGCUAGCGGCGGCAGUUGACCUCCCUCAUCAACUCCCGCACAAGGCCUCCCGCGCCGUCUCCAACUCGCGCAAGAGACGGUUCAGCAACGCGUCGACUACGAGCGACGAUGUAAGCGACGACUCGCCGCACAAGCGCAACCGACGCGCGAGGCACCACGCGCAAGGACGCGCGCCACUCGCGGAGGUUGCCGAACUGGCGCAGACGGGGCAACCGACGAAUAACCCGUGGCGAAAACGCGACGACGAGGGUCGGCUGCACCGCGCGUUGCGGAGGGCGCGGGAAAACGACCGAGGGCUUCCCCGACUCGUCUCGCGCGACUCGUCCCCGGAGCCCGACGGCGAGCACGAGGCGACGAGGGACGACAAGCCCGUCAUCGUGAUGGUCGGGAACAAGCCCGUCGUGCCCAAGGGGAGGGAUAUCGCGCACAACAGGCGCAAACCGCUCGAGGGUCAUCGCGCGGCGAUGCCGUCGGGCGCCAUCCCGGAUGCGUGGAACUCCGUCAAGUGCGGCGCCGGGGCGAGCACGGGGUUCAUCUAUCACCCGUCCAACGAGUUUAUCACCUAUCACCUCGGACUCUCCGGCUGACGGAAGACGCAAAGAGACGAGAGACUUUCCAGCCGCGAGCGCGACGACUGCUGUACUACCGAACGACGAGACUGAGGACCAUUUUUUUGCAUGCAACCACCACCGAUUCUUUCUGCGAGGGGACGCGAAGGCGAGCUCUGGCGCGCGGCUCAUCCCCUGACGCAUCAUCACAACUGAC